RNAcentral lists this ribosomal RNA (254 nucleotides) under uncultured Bacteroidales bacterium. RNAcentral describes it as "partial 16S ribosomal RNA". It matches the Rfam family "Bacterial small subunit ribosomal RNA", at positions 524 to 776 of the family's 1533-position model. The record is from RNAcentral. Lineage: Bacteria; Pseudomonadati; Bacteroidota; Bacteroidia; Bacteroidales.
UACGGAGGAUUCAAGCGUUGUCCGGAUUUAUUGGGUUUAAAGGGUGCGUAGGCUGUAAGGUAAGUCAGCGGUGAAAUGCCCCCGCUCAACGGGGUGAAGUGCCAUUGAUACUGCCUUGCUGGAAUGCGGAUGCAGCAGGCGGAAUGUGUAGUGUAGCGGUGAAAUGCAUAGAUAUCACACAGAACACCGAUUGCGAAGGCAUCUCACGAAUCCGCGAUUGACGCUGAUGCACGAAAGCGUGGGUAUCAAACAGG